RNAcentral lists this long non-coding RNA (330 nucleotides) under Elaeis guineensis (African oil palm). Its description in RNAcentral is "long non-coding RNA (EGUI_LNC070578)". Lineage: Eukaryota; Viridiplantae; Streptophyta; Magnoliopsida; Arecales; Arecaceae. The record is from RNAcentral.
GUCAACUCUUAACCUAAUAGGGUCAAACCCAACUGAAUCCAAUUCAAUUGGACUUGAUCCAAAAUUAAUUACUCAAUCAAAUUGAGUUAAUUAGCAAUCAAAUCACUAAUUAAACCUCUCAUAAAUAUUGAGUCCAAAUUCGAUGGGUAAUCAGGCAUCAGAAUUCAUCGAUAUGUAACCCUGAUCGAAGAGUCCCAAACCAGUGGGACUCUUGACCCCGAUACACAAAAUGUGUGGGACUCGUGAUCAGAGAAUCUUGAUUCUCGAUCACAGAGUCUCAGACAUGUAGGACUCAUAGUCCAUGAGCAUUAGGACUCUUCAUCAGCCAUU